Molecule: small RNA, 150 nt
Filed under: uncultured Blautia sp.
Lineage: Bacteria; Bacillati; Bacillota; Clostridia; Lachnospirales; Lachnospiraceae
Description: Clostridiales-1 RNA
Rfam family: Clostridiales-1 RNA
Source: RNAcentral
AGUCUCAAAGCAGAGACAGGGCAGACUGCUUGCAGGCUGGGCUGGCUGUGCUUUGGAGACGCUAACCCGCAUGAGCAAGAAGGCCGACAGGCCGGAUUGGGAAUGGGGGUCAGGAUUGCGGGAGUGCAAAGCACCAAGCAAUCUGUGGCU